UACGUAGGUGGCAAGCGUUAUCCGGAUUUACUGGGUGUAAAGGGCGUGUAGGCGGGUCUUCAAGUCGGAUGUGAAAUACCUAGGCUUAACCUAGGCAGGUCAUCCGAAACUGGGGAUCUUGAGUACUGGAGAGGAUAGUGGAAUUCCUAGUGUAGCGGUAAAAUGCGUAGAUAUUAGGAGGAACACCAGUGGCGAAGGCGGCUAUCUGGACAGUAACUGACGCUGAGGCGCGAAAGCGUGGGGAGCAAACAGG
This 253-nucleotide ribosomal RNA is filed under the name uncultured bacterium. RNAcentral's name for it is "partial 16S ribosomal RNA". It matches the Rfam family "Bacterial small subunit ribosomal RNA", at positions 524 to 776 of the family's 1533-position model. The record is from RNAcentral.